GUGCUUACUUCAGCAGCACAUAUACUAUAAGUGGAAUAAUACAGAGAUGAUUAGCAUGGCCCCUGCACAAGGGUGACACACAAACUCCUGAAGCAUUCCAUAUUUUU
Molecule: small nuclear RNA, 107 nt
Filed under: Canis lupus familiaris (dog)
Lineage: Eukaryota; Metazoa; Chordata; Mammalia; Carnivora; Canidae
Also listed under: 1 other name
Source: RNAcentral